Molecule: small nuclear RNA, 163 nt
Filed under: Haemaphysalis longicornis (longhorned tick)
Lineage: Eukaryota; Metazoa; Arthropoda; Arachnida; Ixodida; Ixodidae
Description: U1 spliceosomal RNA
Rfam family: U1 spliceosomal RNA
About the family: U1 is a small nuclear RNA (snRNA) component of the spliceosome (involved in pre-mRNA splicing). Its 5' end forms complementary base pairs with the 5' splice junction, thus defining the 5' donor site of an intron.
Source: Rfam by way of RNAcentral
AUACUUACCUGGUGUCGGGCUGACCGGUGGUCCCGAUGGCCGGCGCCCCAAGUGGAGGUCGUCCAUUGCACUGCGGUCGGCUGAAGCUUGCCACUUCCCCUAAUCGGGGCAGAUGGGGCAUGUAAUUUUUGGUAGUGGGGCUAGGCGUUCGCGCCGGCCCCUU